This is a long non-coding RNA of Gorilla gorilla gorilla (western lowland gorilla), 3882 nucleotides long. RefSeq lists it as uncharacterized. NCBI's taxonomy places the organism in Eukaryota, Metazoa, Chordata, Mammalia, Primates, Hominidae. The transcript has 2 exons. The record is from RefSeq and is a predicted model, not a curated record.
UUCUCUCCUGCGUGGGGACCAGCGCUGAGCCACACAGGCUCCCUCAGGGCGGGGUCUCUUGCGCGCCCCUCGCCUUCCCACGGCGGGCAUCUGGCCCUGGCUGCCUCCUGCGUGCCCCUCGCCUUCCCACGGCGGGCACCCGGCUGGGGCACGGGGACAUCUGCCACCUGGCCAGCCCCUUCUCCCCUCGGGGCUUAGGCUGACUCCCCACGAGGCCUUCCCGGCCUCCUGUCUGAAGUGGGUCCCUUUCCUUACUGGUCCCUCUCCAAAGCCCUGGCUGUAAGACUCGGGGACCCCAGCAUCUGCACAUCUGGCAGAGUGGACCUCCUGUGAGAACUGGCUGUGAGCUGUGGAGCCCAGGGCCAGAGGAGCAGUAAGGGUGGCAUGGGGACCAGGACAGGCUGCUCUGGGCUAGCGGCAAACACGUCAGGCCUGGCCCCCAGUCCGCUGCUGCCCCUCCCUUUCACCUUCCAUCCAGCACUAAGGGAGUCUGGCCACGGCCUAAUACAGGAGGGCUUGUGGGAGGAGACACCCACCCCCUCUUUCUGCACCUCUCCCUUCUUCCAUGCCACCCCCAGGCCAGGAGCCACCACAGCCCUGUCUGUGACUCUCAGCUCCUGAGGCUGGGCCCUUCCCCGGGGAAGCUGCAUGACCAUGGCCACGUACAGGAGGUAGGAGACAGAGGCCUCCACGGUGGACGAUCGUGGCGUGAAGUCCACGUUGACCACGUUGUCGGUGCUGGGGGAGCGGAUGAAGGCCAGGGACCCGCGGCGCUCUCCCUGUGGUCAGGAAGCAGCCCGGAGACCCUAAAACUCCAUUGGCCUCAUGUCCAGAACUGAAUCAGGUAGAGAACGGAGCAGAGCCCAAUGGGGCACAGAAGCCACACAGCUGAGUGCCAGAGGAUGGAAGUGGGGCCGCCUAUGUGUCCUCAGACCCCACCCGCCUGAUGGCAGGGCCUGGAGAGCAUGAGGUUGUGCAGGAGCACAGGGCAGAGUGGGCUUAUGGCUGGAGUCAGUGUCCCCAGGGCCGGCAGGGGCACGGGUGUGGAGGGAACGUCAGCUCACUGCACUCAGACCUCGCCAGGUGGGCACCCGCGCCGCCUUCAGUGUGCAGGAUGCUUCCAGGAAAGCCCCCGGGAUCGGGUGGGUGCCGCUGUUCCCACUGAAGAUGCGGCCCCCAGUUCACUGCCCACUCGGGGGGGCUUUGAGGGUCAUUGGUUCUGAGGGCCCUCUGCCUGCUCUUUUGCUUCUAAAUCCAGCAUCUUCUGUAUGACCUUUGUCCCUCUCCUGCCACCCCACGAAGACAGACGUGAGGGUCAGGGGAGCCACGGUGCUAACCGCCACUCUGGGCAGGCACAGGCGAGGGCUGUGGAGCACCCGGGCACGUGGGGUCUUUGGAGGGGCUGCUCCCCACACCACUUCCCCUGCCCCUGCCGAGCCCCGCUGUGGGGUGGGGGGCGCAGGGAGAGAAAGCAGCUGCCCUGUGUGAGAGCCAGGAGGGACACCGGGCAGGCAGAUGCCACCCCAGGUGUGGAGACCCCCGCUACUGAGUGACCGGGAGGAGGCCACAGGCUCCCCACAUGCAGCUGAGCCCAGGGUUGUGGUCAUGGGUCGUGGGUCAAGGAUGGUGGCUGGUGUGGUUGGGGGAGAGGCUCAAGGCCCGCCCGCUAACCUUGUCACCUAUGUGGGGGUGAGGGGAGCCCGCCAGAGGCUAGAGCCCCCACUGCCCCUUCCCACCCUCCAGCCAGGCUCCAGGCCUCCUAGGGCCAGAGUAUCUGAGCUUUCUCUCGCUUGCCGGGCCUGUGGUUUGGGGGUUUGUGUGGAGCCUGGUCCAGGAGCCCUCCUUCCUGAUCUGCACUGGCUGGCCCUCCUGACAGCCCCAGGCCCCCGUGCCCUCUGCCAGGAGGUGCCUUGCCACUCGGCGUGGCCCCAGUCACGGGUGGCACAUCUGGGGUGAAUGCAUGUCAGUGGAGGCAGAAUCAUUCUGUCUGAAUGAAUGGAGUUUCCAGGCCCCCACUGGCCCUCUGUGUGAGGGUCUGCAGGGUUUGGCAGGACAGGUCUUUCUCUCCGGCGAGAGCACCCACCCUGACCGGCUGCUGGAUGAGGGCACCAAAGCUCGCUAGGGAGGGCUCUGUCCUUAGGGAGGAGCUGCAGAAUCCCUGCAGCUGUGCCCCCAGGCCCCGCCUUGCACACUUCUUGAAGCCAGGGCGCCCCUGGGGAGGUCAGGGCAGGCCGGGGAGGCUGAGGCCCACCUGCCAUAGUGGGCAGGUGUGGGAGCCAGGGGCGGCAGUGGCCUCGGGGCUGGGUGGGGCACCUGGCCUCUGGUCUCUGGAGCAGUCAGGGGCUCUGCAGAUGCUGAGAGGCCUGCUCACAGUGGACUGGGAGAUGCUGCAGCAGCCUCAGAGGCAUGGCCGGCCCACGGCGGGAGACGGCCCUGCUGCUGCCCCUCUGCCCGUGCGUGUGCACCUGUGGGCACCUGCGUGUGCUGGGGCAGGCCGGGCUGUACUGGGACCAGGUCCCGUAACAGCCUACCUGCUUACCGUCCGCUCCCAUCUCUGGGGAAAGCAAGGGAGCUCGGGGUCCUAGGACCUGACCUCAGCGUUCACCCCCCACCAGCACCGCAGUCACCAGGACUGUGACUCAGUUUACCCCACGAGAGCCCCUGGGAUUCCCAGGGCAUCAGAAGGCCCAUCAGCCUCCCAUGAACUGCUGGGGAGGGCCUGGCCUUGGGACGCGGGUGCAGGGGCCUCUCCUCACUGCCCCCAUGGCACCCACAGCCAGUGCCCGAGCCUACUGCAGCCCCGACCCGGCAGAGCAAGCGGCUCUGCUACCUCAGCCACGUAGCUGAUGGCAUCCUUCAGGUUCAGCUCGUGGAAGACAUUCAGGAUCCGGUCUCGAGACUUCUGGGCCGACCGCCUCAUGAGGACCCUGCUGAGGAACUUCCUGUCGAAGUGGGACCACCUGUAGGGACAGACCUCGGGUGUGAGCCUCAGGUGACAGGCGCCCUAGAGCCCGCCGGACGCGUGGCCCGGCCCCUUCUCUCCUGAAUUUUGUUUGCUAUAGUGACCCUGUAGGCGCGUUUAAAAUGAGGGAAGCAGCCCCUGCCACGCGCCCAGGCCGUCCGCCGUUCUUCCGCCUGUCCUGUUGGAUGGAGGCCGUUAGACGCAUAUGAAACUGCAUGCCGCCUCCUCCAGAGGGUGGCUCAGGACACGGUGGGUGUCAGGCCUGGUCGGGCAAGGGGGCUUCGGCCACGUGGGGGGCACUUUCAGCUGCACAGGAGGAAGGGCAGGGGCGGACAGACACCCUGAGCCCUUAGACUUGUGGGAGCCAAGCUGACCAGAGUGAGGUUUUUUUAGCCUAAGGGAAUUAGAGUAUUCACUGGUUAUCCGGAUCAGAAGGGACGGUGGCCUGGCCGGACUUUUAGAGGAAACUCUGGGGCACAAGGAGGUGAUGCCUGUCACUCUUGGACAUGGGUGCAGCCGACAGAGCCGCCCUCCAGGGCACAGGGUGGGCCCGGGUGAGCUUGUGUGCUCACACCUGGGCAGGCCCCGUGGCAGCAAUGGCAGCUCUCCUGUACAGGCUGAGUUUCAGCCACACCAAGAAGUCAAAGCUAACUGAGGCCGUGCCUUCCGAGACCCCCGGGAUGGCCCCUGGGAGGCCAAGGAGUCGGGGACUGGGUACCUGGAGCAGAGUCACUAUGGCCACGGAGAACCGCAGCUGAGCUUUAUGAAGCCACGUGGCCACACCUCCCGGUGCCUCCACCCCAAGCAAACACAGAUCGCUCAGAAAAUGGGAACCCAGGGCAAAUUGUAUGUGCUCCUUACUGCGUUUAUUAUAAGUGUCACAUGUUUUUUAUAAUAAAACAUAGGUGAUUUCACCUUAA